CAGUCGCCGCGGUAAUACGAAGGGUGCAAGCGUUAAUCGGAAUUACUGGGCGUAAAGCGUGCGUAGGCGGUUUGUUAAGUCUGCUGUGAAAUCCCCGGGCUCAACCUGGGAAUGGCAGUGGAUACUGGCAAGCUAGAGUGUGUCAGAGGAUGGUGGAAUUCCCGGUGUAGCGGUGAAAUGCGUAGAGAUCGGGAGGAACAUCAGUGGCGAAGGCGGCCAUCUGGGACAACACUGACGCUGAGGCACGAAAGCGUGGGGAGCAAACAGGAUUAGAUACCCCGGUAGUCCCUGUCUCUUAUAC
This 301-nucleotide ribosomal RNA is filed under the name uncultured bacterium. Its description in RNAcentral is "partial 16S ribosomal RNA". It matches the Rfam family "Bacterial small subunit ribosomal RNA", at positions 509 to 807 of the family's 1533-position model. The record is from RNAcentral.